Molecule: small nucleolar RNA, 88 nt
Filed under: Oryza sativa Indica Group (long-grained rice)
Lineage: Eukaryota; Viridiplantae; Streptophyta; Magnoliopsida; Poales; Poaceae
Also listed under: 1 other name
Description: Small nucleolar RNA J33
Source: RNAcentral
CAGUUAGGGGAAUGAUGUACUACCGAAAAGCUUUGGUUCUUGAAGCAUUUCUAGAUAUGGCCAAACAUGAAGGUAAUACACAUGUCUG